RNAcentral lists this long non-coding RNA (214 nucleotides) under Lathyrus oleraceus (garden pea). Its description in RNAcentral is "Pisum sativum (pea) long non-coding RNA (PSAT_LNC019609)". The record is from RNAcentral. Lineage: Eukaryota; Viridiplantae; Streptophyta; Magnoliopsida; Fabales; Fabaceae.
AGGUAUUAGGCACCCAAAGCAUCCUAGGUACUCCUAGGGAGCCCUUUUCACAUUUGUUGCAAAGGUUGUUUUUUUUUUUUGAAAAUUUAUUUGUGCAAACAUGAUUGAAGGGAUAAGAAAAUCGUGUAUGUUUAUCUAAUGUACUACUUACUAGAAGAAGGGUCAAAAGAAAAUGACUCGCAAGGAUGUCGCAUCCACUGCAUACGUAUCUCAU